Molecule: ribosomal RNA, 515 nt
Filed under: uncultured bacterium
Lineage: Bacteria
Description: partial 16S ribosomal RNA
Rfam family: Bacterial small subunit ribosomal RNA
Source: RNAcentral
GAUGAACGCUGGCGGCGUGCCUAAUACAUGCAAGUCGAGCGAAUGGAUUAAGAGCUUGCUCUUAUGAAGUUAGCGGCGGACGGGUGAGUAACACGUGGGUAACCUGCCCAUAAGACUGGGAUAACUCCGGGAAACCGGGGCUAAUACCGGAUAACAUUUUGAACCGCAUGGUUCGAAAUUGAAAGGCGGCUUCGGCUGUCACUUAUGGAUGGACCCGGGUCGCAUUAGCUAGUUGGUGAGGUAACGGCUCACCAAGGCAACGAUGCGUAGCCGACCUGAGAGGGUGAUCGGCCACACUGGGACUGAGACACGGCCCAGACUCCUACGGGAGGCAGCAGUAGGGAAUCUUCCGCAAUGGACGAAAGUCUGACGGAGCAGCGCCGCGUGAGUGAUGAAGGCUUUCGGGUCGUAAAACUCUGUUGUUAGGGAAGGACAAGUGCUAGUUGAAUAAGCUGGCACCUUGGCGGUACCUAACCAGAAAGCCACGGCUAACUACGUGCCAGCCGCCGCCGUAA